CUGCUGCCUUCCGUAGGAGUCUGGGCCGUGUCUCAGUCCCAGUGUGGCCGUCCACCCUCUCAGGCCGGCUGCUGAUCGUCGCUUUGGUGGGCCGUUACCCCGCCAACUGGCUAAUCAGACGCGGGCCCAUCCUGUACCACCGGAGUUUUCAAAGGAUUACCCAUGCGGUAUUCCCUAUUAUGCGGUAUUAGCACCUAUUUCUAAGUGUUAUCCCCCGGGUACAGGGCAGGUUGCCCACGCGUUACUCACCCGUCCGCCACUAAGACAG
This 268-nucleotide ribosomal RNA is filed under the name uncultured bacterium. RNAcentral describes it as "partial 16S ribosomal RNA". The record is from RNAcentral.